AUUGAACGCUGGCGGCAGGCCUAACACAUGCAAGUCGAGCGGCAGCGGAAAGUAGCUUGCUACUUUGCCGGCGAGCGGCGGACGGGUGAGUAAUGUCUGGGAAACUGCCUGAUGGAGGGGGAUAACUACUGGAAACGGUAGCUAAUACCGCAUGACCUCGAAAGAGCAAAGUGGGGGAUCUUCGGACCUCACGCCAUCGGAUGUGCCCAGAUGGGAUUAGCUAGUAGGUGAGGUAAUGGCUCACCUAGGCGACGAUCCCUAGCUGGUCUGAGAGGAUGACCAGCCACACUGGAACUGAGACACGGUCCAGACUCCUACGGGAGGCAGCAGUGGGGAAUAUUGCACAAUGGGCGCAAGCCUGAUGCAGCCAUGCCGCGUGUGUGAAGAAGGCCUUAGGGUUGUAAAGCACUUUCAGCGAGGAGGAAGGCACCAUACUUAAUACGUGUGGUGAUUGACGUUACUCGCAGAAGAAGCACCGGCUAACUCCGUGCCAGCAGCCGCGGUAAUACGGAGGGUGCAAGCGUUAAUCGGAAUUACUGGGCGUAAGGCGCACGCAGGCGGUUUGUUAAGUCAGAUGUGAAAUCCCCGCGCCUAACGUGGGAACUGCAUUUGAAACUGGCAAGCUAGAGUCUUGUAGAGGGGGGUAGAAUUCCAGGUGUAGCGGUGAAAUGCGUAGAGAUCUGGAGGAAUACCGGUGGCGAAGGCGGCCCCCUGGACAAAGACUGACGCUCAGGUGCGAAAGCGUGGGGAGCAAACAGG
Molecule: ribosomal RNA, 759 nt
Filed under: uncultured Enterobacteriaceae bacterium
Lineage: Bacteria; Pseudomonadati; Pseudomonadota; Gammaproteobacteria; Enterobacterales; Enterobacteriaceae
Description: bacterial SSU rRNA
Rfam family: Bacterial small subunit ribosomal RNA
Source: RNAcentral